Molecule: long non-coding RNA, 563 nt
Organism: Gambusia affinis (western mosquitofish)
Lineage: Eukaryota; Metazoa; Chordata; Actinopteri; Cyprinodontiformes; Poeciliidae
Exons: 3
Source: RefSeq, a predicted model, not a curated record
ACUCGGGCUCCUGGAGAACCCACACACCCUGCUGUUCAGGAGCUGAUUAUGGGUUUACCUGACAGCUAUUAAUGCCCAGGAGAUAAGCCCAGUGGAGCGGAUUAGCUCUGCUAUCCUCCUGGAUGAUGGAGCCUCUCUUUGCCCUGCGGAGGAAGCUCAUCCCAACUUCAGAAUCUUUCCCUCAUACCUGCUGGUGAUGGACUGGUUCAUGAUGAGAGUAAAUCAUUGAUUUGGGUUCUGGACCCGUCAGAACCUCCUUUGGUAGCAGUCAGGUUGAACCGGAGCACACCUGUCCACCAGGUGAGCAGCGGUCAUCUUACCUCUCCCUGCCAGGUCUCUGCAGGUCUCCUUCCCGAUGCCCGUGUUCGCACCAGUCACCAGAACCGUUUUCCCAUCCAGCCGGACUGAACAGCGGCACACUCCACCUGCGAUCCACUUCCUGAGCACCACCACACCUGGAGACGGACAGACAGCUGCAGGUCUGAAAAGUAGGACAUGUCCGGGAAAAUGAGGACGUCUGGUCACCCUACCUUUGACCCUUCCGCUUACUGAGUCGGUGGUAG